AUGUAGGCCCAGGUCCUGGGCGGCACCGCAGCGCGCAGCGCGAGCCCAUUGGUCCAAUUUCCCAGGAACCGCUCUGAGCCCGGCGAGGCGGCGCUCAGUAAAAUGACCCGAAAACGAUCCCCGACUAAGCGGCUCUUUAUCCCACAGCAAAACGGCUUUCUUAAGACCCAUCUGGUAUUAUCUGGAUCCCUUGGCCUGAAAUUUUUGAGUGAGGUUAGGGUUUUGCAUUUCUGAAUCGAAGCAACUAUUGAUUAGCCUGGAAUCCCGACCUAAAGCAAAGGAAAUCACAAGUAUGAAGGCGUCGUCAGUCGGAUAAACACUAGUACUCUGCAUGUGUAAAGCCACUCUCGUCUCCUGAAAAAAGGCCAUGUCCAACGUCAGUAAAACAAGAAUAGGAGGAAAAGGCACAGGGGAAAGGUACAAGGAAAUCUCUGAGAGCUUUGUUCUUGUUUAAAGAUGUUUGGCAAAGUCAUGAGGCGUUAAAGGGUAAAGACG
Molecule: long non-coding RNA, 495 nt
Filed under: Homo sapiens (human)
Lineage: Eukaryota; Metazoa; Chordata; Mammalia; Primates; Hominidae
Description: HSALNT0176944
Source: RNAcentral